UAAGGUGGGAUAGAUGAUUGGGGUGAAGUCGUAACAAGGUAGCCGUAUCGGAAGGUGCGGCUGGAUCACCUCCUUUCUAAGGAUAAGGAACUGCGCAUUGGUCUUGUUUAGUCUUGAGAGGUCUUGUGGGGCCUUAGCUCAGCUGGGAGAGCGCCUGCUUUGCACGCAGGAGGUCAGCGGUUCGAUCCCGCUAGGCUCCAUUGGUGAGAGAUNNNNNNNNNNNNNNNNNNNNNNNNNNNNNNNNNNNNNNNNNNNNNNNNNNNNNNNNNNNNNNNNNNNNNNNNNNNNNNNNNNNNNNNNNNNNNNNNNNNNNNNNNNNNNNNNNNNNNNNNNNNNNNNNNUACCUGUUACCCACAUCUGUUAAGGAUGUGAGGAGGAAGACGCAGUGAACUGAAACAUCUAAGUAGCUGCAGGAAGAGAAAGCAAAAGCGAUUGCCUUAGUAGCGGCGAGCGAAACGGCAGGAGGGCAAACCGAAGAGUUUACUCUUCGGGGUUGUAGGACUGCAAUGUGGACUCAAAGAUUAUAGAAGAAUGAUUUGGGAAGAUCAGCCAAAGAGAGUAAUAGCCUCGUAUUUUAAAUAGUCUUUGUACCUAGCAGUAUCCUGAGUACGGCGGGACACGUGAAAUCCCGUCGGAAUCUGGGAGGACCAUCUCCCAACCCUAAAUACUCCCUAGUGACCGAUAGUGAACCAGUACCGUGAGGGAAAGGUGAAAAGCACCCCGGGAGGGGAGUGAAAUAGAACCUGAAACCGUGUGCCUACAACAAGUUCGAGCCCGUUAAUGGGUGAGAGCGUGCCUUUUGUAGAAUGAACCGGCGAGUUACGUUAUGAUGCGAGGUUAAGUUGAAGAGACGGAGCCGUAGGGAAACCGAGUCUGAAUAGGGCGCCUUAGUAUCAUGACGUAGACCCGAAACCAUGUGACCUACCCAUGAGCAGGUUGAAGGUGCGGUAAGACGCACUGGAGGACCGAACCAGGGCACGUUGAAAAGUGCUUGGAUGACUUGUGGGUAGCGGAGAAAUUCCAAACGAACUUGGAGAUAGCUGGUUCUCUCCGAAAUAGCUUUAGGGCUAGCGUCGACAUUAGAGAUUCUUGGAGGUAGAGCACUGUUUGGGUGAGGGGUCCAUCCCGGAUUACCAAUCUCAGAUAAACUCCGAAUGCCAAUGAAUUAUGGUCGGCAGUCAGACUGCGAGUGCUAAGAUCCGUAGUCGAAAGGGAAACAGCCCAGACCACCAGCUAAGGUCCCAAAAUAAUUGUUAAGUGGAAAAGGAUGUGGGGUUGCACAGACAACUAGGAUGUUAGCUUAGAAGCAGCUAUUCAUUCAAAGAGUGCGUAAUAGCUCACUAGUCGAGUGACCCUGCGCCGAAAAUGUACCGGGGCUAAAACAAUUUACCGAAGCUGUGGAUACCUUUAUAGGUAUGGUAGGAGAGCGUUCUAUGUGUGAUGAAGGUAUACCGUGAGGAGUGCUGGAACGCAUAGAAGUGAGAAUGCCGGUAUGAGUAGCGAAAGACAGGUGAGAAUCCUGUCCACCGUAAGACUAAGGUUUCCAGGGGAAGGCUCGUCCGCCCUGGGUUAGUCGGGACCUAAGGAGAGACCGAAAGGUGUAUCCGAUGGACAACAGGUUGAUAUUCCUGUACUAGAGUAUGUAGUGAUGGAGGGACGCAGUAGGCUAACUAAAGCAGACGAUUGGAAGAGUCUGUCUAAGCAGUGAGGUGUGAAUUGAGUCAAAUGCUUAAUUCUAUAACAUUGAGCUGUGAUGGGGAGCGAAGUUUAGUAGCGAAGUUAGUGACGUCACACUGCCAAGAAAAGCUUCUAGCGUUUAAACAUACUCUACCCGUACCGCAAACCGACACAGGUAGUCGAGGCGAGUAGCCUCAGGUGAGCGAGAGAACUCUCGUUAAGGAACUCGGCAAAAUGACCCCGUAACUUCGGGAGAAGGGGUGCUGACUUUAAGUCAGCCGCAGUGAAUAGGCCCAAGCAACUGUUUAUCAAAAACACAGCUCUCUGCUAAAUCGUAAGAUGAUGUAUAGGGGGUGACGCCUGCCCGGUGCUGGAAGGUUAAGAGGAGUGCUUAGCGUAAGCGAAGGUAUGAAUUGAAGCCCCAGUAAACGGCGGCCGUAACUAUAACGGUCCUAAGGUAGCGAAAUUCCUUGUCGGGUAAGUUCCGACCCGCACGAAAGGCGUAAUGAUUUGGGCACUGUCUCAACGAGAGACUCGGUGAAAUUUUAGUACCUGUGAAGAUGCAGGUUACCCGCGACAGGACGGAAAGACCCCAUGGAGCUUUACUGCAGUUUGAUAUUGAGUGUCUGUACCACAUGUACAGGAUAGGUAGGAGUCUAAGAGAUCGGGACGCCAGUUUCGAAGGAGACGCUGUUGGGAUACUACCCUUGUGUUAUGGCCACUCUAACCCAGAUAGGUGAUCCCUAUCGGAGACAGUGUCUGACGGGCAGUUUGACUGGGGCGGUCGCCUCCUAAAAGGUAACGGAGGCGCCCAAAGGUUCCCUCAGAAUGGUUGGAAAUCAUUCGCAGAGUGUAAAGGUAUAAGGGAGCUUGACUGCGAGAGCUACAACUCGAGCAGGGACGAAAGUCGGGCUUAGUGAUCCGGUGGUUCCGUAUGGAAGGGCCAUCGCUCAACGGAUAAAAGCUACCCUGGGGAUAACAGGCUUAUCUCCCCCAAGAGUUCACAUCGACGGGGAGGUUUGGCACCUCGAUGUCGGCUCGUCGCAUCCUGGGGCUGUAGUCGGUCCCAAGGGUUGGGCUGUUCGCCCAUUAAAGCGGCACGCGAGCUGGGUUCAGAACGUCGUGAGACAGUUCGGUCCCUAUCCGUCGCGGGCGUAGGAAAUUUGAGAGGAUCUGCUCCUAGUACGAGAGGACCAGAGUGGACUUACCGCUGGUGUACCAGUUGUCUUGCCAAAGGCAUCGCUGGGUAGCUAUGUAGGGAAGGGAUAAACGCUGAAAGCAUCUAAGUGUGAAACCCACCUCAAGAUGAGAUUUCCCAUGAUUAUAUAUCAGUAAGAGCCCUGAGAGAUGAUCAGGUAGAUAGGUUAGAAGUGGAAGUGUGGCGACACAUGUAGCGGACUAAUACUAAUAGCUCGAGGACUUAUCCAA
This 3105-nucleotide ribosomal RNA is filed under the name Streptococcus pneumoniae. RNAcentral describes it as "23S ribosomal RNA". It matches the Rfam family "Bacterial large subunit ribosomal RNA". Lineage: Bacteria; Bacillati; Bacillota; Bacilli; Lactobacillales; Streptococcaceae. The record is from RNAcentral.